This 343-nucleotide long non-coding RNA is filed under the name Ananas comosus (pineapple). Its description in RNAcentral is "long non-coding RNA (ACOM_LNC030012)". Lineage: Eukaryota; Viridiplantae; Streptophyta; Magnoliopsida; Poales; Bromeliaceae. The record is from RNAcentral.
AUUUUAAGAAAUUUGGUUCUUAAUUUUGCCAAAAAUAUCAAUUAUGAUGAAGAGAGAAAUUUUUUUUAUUUAUAUUAAAAAUAAAUUUGCUGUAAUUUCUGGCUCAAAAUUUCUGUGUAAUUGAGUCUCACUGUCCAAUUUAGUCGACUAAAUAUUGACGUACUGUUAAUAUGAUAUUUUAAUAAUUUCUGCAUUAUCGUCAAUCACAAUACUGAUAUGUCACUUCAUAUAAUCGAAUAUUAAUAUUUAGUCAACUAAAUUGAAUCAUAGAAUAAAAUUUAAGUUAGAUAUUUUAAUAAAUUAAAGUUUGAGGAUCAAAAUGUUACAUACUUCAUAGUUUGAG